CCAAUAGCGUAUAUUAAAGUUGUUGCAGUUAAAAAGCUCGUAGUUGAACUUCGGGGUUUGCUCAUUGGUCAGGCUUAAUUGUCUGUACUGGUGAGAUAAAUCUCUACCUUCUGAGGAACUUUCAUGCCAUUUAUUUGGUGUGAUGGGAAAUCAGUACUGUUACUUUGAAAAAAUUAGAGUGUUUAAAGCAGACUAACGUCUGAAUACAUUAGCAUGGAAUAAUGAAAUAGGACGGACUGAUUCUAUUUCGUUGGUUUCUAGGAUCACCGUAAUGAUUAAUAGGGAUAGUUGGGGGCAUUAGUAUUCAAUUGUCAGAGGUGAAAUUCUUGGAUUUAUUGAAGACUAACUACUGCGAAAGCAUUUGCCAAGGAUGUUUUCAUUAAUCAAGAACGAAAGUUAGGGGAUCGAAGACGAUCAGAUACCGUCGUAGUCUUAACCAUAAACUAUGCCGACUAGGGAUCGGACGAAGUUAAUUUUAUAAUGACGCGUUCGGCACCUUACG
This 502-nucleotide ribosomal RNA is filed under the name uncultured Glomeromycotina. Its description in RNAcentral is "partial small subunit ribosomal RNA". It matches the Rfam family "Eukaryotic small subunit ribosomal RNA", at positions 591 to 1092 of the family's 1831-position model. The record is from RNAcentral. Lineage: Eukaryota; Fungi; Glomeromycota.